GAUGAACGCUGGCGGCGUGCCUAAUACAUGCAAGUCGAGCGAACAGACGAGGAGCUUGCUCCUCUGACGUUAGCGGCGGACGGGUGAGUAACACGUGGAUAACCUACCUAUAAGACUGGGAUAACUUCGGGAAACCGGAGCUAAUACCGGAUAAUAUAUUGAACCGCAUGGUUCAAUAGUGAAAGACGGUUUUGCUGCCACUUAUAGAUGGAUCCGCGCCGCAUUAGCUAGUUGGUAAGGUAACGGCUUACCAAGGCAACGAUGCGUAGCCGACCUAAGAGGGUGAUCGGCCACACUGGAACUGAGACACGGUCCAGACUCCUACGGGAGGCAGCAGUAGGGAAUCUUCCGCAAAGGGCGAAAGCCUGACGGAGCAACGCCGCGUGAGUGAUGAAGGUCUUCGGAUCGUAAAACUCUGUUAUUAGGGAAGAACAAAUGUGUAAGUAACUAUGCACGUCUUGACGGUACCUAAUCAGAAAGCCACGGCUAACUACGUG
RNAcentral lists this ribosomal RNA (497 nucleotides) under uncultured bacterium. Its description in RNAcentral is "partial 16S ribosomal RNA". It matches the Rfam family "Bacterial small subunit ribosomal RNA", at positions 28 to 507 of the family's 1533-position model. The record is from RNAcentral.